AGGGGGAGGGGAGGAAAGGUAUGAGCAUUAUACCGCGAAACUGCGAAUGGCUCAUUAAAUCAGUUAUCGUUUAUUUGAUAGUACCUUACUACUUGGAUAACCGUGGUAAUUCUAGAGCUAAUACAUGCUAAAAAUCCCGACUUCGGAAGGGAUGUAUUUAUUAGAUUAAAAACCAAUGCCCUUCGGGGCUCUUUGGUGAUUCAUAAUAACUUCUCGAAUCGCAUGGCCUUGCGCCGGCGAUGGUUCAUUCAAAUUUCUGCCCUAUCAACUUUCGAUGGCAGGGUCUUGGCCUGCCAUGGUUACAACGGGUAACGGAGGGUUAGGGCUCGACCCCGGAGAUGGAGCCUGAGAAAUGGCUACAACAUCCAAGGAAGGCAGCAGGCGCGCAAAUUACCCAAUCCCGAUACGGGGAGGUAGUGACAAUAAAUACUGAUACAGGGCUCUUUUGGGUCUUGUAAUUGGAAUGAGUACAAUUUAAAUCCCUUAACGAGGAACAAUUGGAGGGCAAGUCUGGUGCCAGCAGCCGCGGUAAUUCCAGCUCCAAUAGCGUAUAUUAAAGUUGUUGAGGUUAAAAAGCUCGUAGUUGAACCUUGGGCCUGGCUGGCCGGUCCGCCUCACCGCGUGCACUGGUUCGGCCGGGCCUUUCCCUCUGGGGAACCUCAUGCCCUUCACUGGGUGUGACGGGGAACCAGGACUUUUACUGUGAAAAAAUUAGAGUGUUCAAAGCAGGCCUAUGCUCGAAUACAUUAGCAUGGAAUAAUAGAAUAGGACGUGUGGUUCUAUUUUGUUGGUUUCUAGGACCGCCGUAAUGAUUAAUAGGGACAGUCGGGGGCAUCAGUAUUCAAUCGUCAGAGGUGAAAUUCUUGGAUUGAUUGAAGACUAACUACUGCGAAAGCAUUUGCCAAGGAUGUUUUCAUUAAUCAGGAACGAAAGUUAGGGGAUCGAAGACGAUCAGAUACCGUCGUAGUCUUAACCAUAAACUAUGCCGACUAGGGAUCGGACGAUGUUAUUUUUUGACUCGUUCGGCACCUUACGAGAAAUCAAAGUCUUAGGUACUGUGAGAGAUGACUCCAUUGC
Molecule: ribosomal RNA, 1077 nt
Filed under: fungal sp. HS52 LX-2016
Lineage: Eukaryota; Fungi
Description: SSU rRNA
Rfam family: Eukaryotic small subunit ribosomal RNA
Source: RNAcentral